CAAUGGCUCAAUUGGUAGAGCAUCGGUCUCCAAAACCGAGGGUUGGGGGUUCGAGUCCCUCUUGA
This 65-nucleotide transfer RNA is filed under the name Fusobacterium gonidiaformans. It matches the Rfam family "tRNA", at positions 5 to 66 of the family's 71-position model. Rfam says of the family: Transfer RNA (tRNA) molecules are approximately 80 nucleotides in length. Lineage: Bacteria; Fusobacteriati; Fusobacteriota; Fusobacteriia; Fusobacteriales; Fusobacteriaceae. RNAcentral also lists the same sequence under 14 other names. The record is from RNAcentral.